GAUGAACGCUAGCGAUAGGCUUAACACAUGCAAGUCGAGGGGCAGCAUGGUCUUAGCUUGCUAAGACUGAUGGCGACCGGCGCACGGGUGCGUAACGCGUAUGCAACUUGCCUCACAGAGGGGGAUAACCCGUCGAAAGACGGACUAAUACCGCGUACACUUGGGAUAGGGCAUCCUGACCCAAGGAAAUGAAAUUCGCUGUGAGAUAGGCAUGCGUCCCAUUAGCUAGUUGGUGAGGUAACGGCUCACCAAGGCGACGAUGGGUAGGGGAACUGAGAGGUUGAACCCCCACACUGGUACUGAGACACGGACCAGACUCCUACGGGAGGCAGCAGUGAGGAAUAUUGGUCAAUGGGCGAGAGCCUGAACCAGCCAAGUCGCGUGAAGGAUGACUGUCUUAUGGAUUGUAAACUUCUUUUAUACGGGAAUAACAAGAGCCACGUGUGGCUCCCUGCAUGUACCGUAUGAAUAAGCAUCGGCUAACUCCG
Molecule: ribosomal RNA, 488 nt
Filed under: uncultured bacterium
Lineage: Bacteria
Description: partial 16S ribosomal RNA
Rfam family: Bacterial small subunit ribosomal RNA
Source: RNAcentral